Molecule: ribosomal RNA, 472 nt
Filed under: uncultured bacterium
Lineage: Bacteria
Description: partial 16S ribosomal RNA
Rfam family: Bacterial small subunit ribosomal RNA
Source: RNAcentral
GACGAACGCUGGCGGCGUGCUUAACACAUGCAAGUUGAACGCUGAAGCUUGGUGCUUGCACUGGGUGGAUGAGUGGCGAACGGGUGAGUAAUACGUGAGUAACCUGCCCUUGACUCUGGGAUAAGCCUGGGAAACUGGGUCUAAUACUGGAUACGACAUGUCACCGCAUGGUGGUGUGUGGAAAGGGUUUUACUGGUUUUGGAUGGGCUCACGGCCUAUCAGCUUGUUGGUGGGGUAAUGGCUCACCAAGGCGACGACGGGUAGCCGGCCUGAGAGGGUGACCGGCCACACUGGGACUGAGACACGGCCCAGACUCCUACGGGAGGCAGCAGUGGGGAAUAUUGCACAAUGGGCGGAAGCCUGAUGCAGCGACGCCGCGUGAGGGAUGACGGCCUUCGGGUUGUAAACCUCUUUCAGCACGGAAGAAGCGAAAGUGACGGUACGUGCAGAAGAAGCGCCGGCUAACUACGUG